RNAcentral lists this ribosomal RNA (468 nucleotides) under uncultured bacterium. Its description in RNAcentral is "partial 16S ribosomal RNA". It matches the Rfam family "Bacterial small subunit ribosomal RNA", at positions 28 to 507 of the family's 1533-position model. The record is from RNAcentral.
GACGAACGCUGGCGGCGUGCUUAACACAUGCAAGUCGAACGGAAAGGCCCUGCUUUUGUGGGGUGCUCGAGUGGCGAACGGGUGAGUAACACGUGAGUAACCUGCCCUUUACUUUGGGAUAACUUCAGGCAACUGGGUCUAAUACCGGAUAGGAGCUCCUGCUGCAUGGUGGGGGUUGGAAAGUUUCGGCGGUUGUGGAUGGACUCGCGGCUUAUCAGCGUGUUGGUGGGGUACUGGCUUACCAAGGCUUUGACGGGUAGCCGGCCUGAGAGGGUGACCGGCCACAUUGGGAAUGAGAUACGGCCCAGACUCCUACGGGAGGCAGCAGUGGGGAAUAUUGCACAAUGGGCGGAAGCCUGAUGCAGCAACGCCGCGUGCGGGAUGACGGCCUUCGGGUUGUAAACCGCUUUCGCCUGUGACGAAGCGUGAGUGACGGUAAUGGGUAAAGAAGCACCGGCUAAAUACGUG